AAAACUUUCAACAACGGAUCUCUUGGUUCCCGCAUCGAUGAAGAACGCAGCGAAAUGCGAUAAGUAGUGUGAAUUGCAGAAUUCAGUGAAUCAUCGAAUCUUUGAACGCACAUUGCGCCCUCUGGUUCUGCCGGAGGGCAUGCCUGUCCGAGCGUC
This 156-nucleotide ribosomal RNA is filed under the name Cookeina venezuelae. Its description in RNAcentral is "5.8S ribosomal RNA". It matches the Rfam family "5.8S ribosomal RNA". From Rfam's summary of the family: 5.8S ribosomal RNA (5.8S rRNA) is a component of the large subunit of the eukaryotic ribosome. It is transcribed by RNA polymerase I as part of the 45S precursor that also contains 18S and 28S rRNA. Functionally, it is thought that 5.8S rRNA may be involved in ribosome translocation. Lineage: Eukaryota; Fungi; Ascomycota; Pezizomycetes; Pezizales; Sarcoscyphaceae. The record is from RNAcentral.